CCCUUAGAUGUUCUGGGCUGCACGCGCGCUACACUGACACUGUCAACGAGUGCUCCUGGUUUGAAAGGAUCGGGUAAUCUUUUGAAAUGGUGUCGUGAUGGGGAUAGAUCAUUGCAAUUAUUGAUCUUGAACGAGGAAUUCCUAGUAAAUGUGAGUCAUCAGCUCACGUUGAUUACGUCCCUGCCCUUUGUACACACCGCCCGUCGCUCCUACCGAUUGAGUGAACCGAUGAGUAGUCCGGAUUGCGAUCGACCUCGGUUAAUCGCGAGAAGUUCCGCAAAUCACUUCACUUAGAGGAAGGAGAAGUCGUAACA
This 314-nucleotide ribosomal RNA is filed under the name uncultured eukaryote. RNAcentral's name for it is "partial 18S ribosomal RNA". It matches the Rfam family "Eukaryotic small subunit ribosomal RNA", at positions 1470 to 1796 of the family's 1831-position model. The record is from RNAcentral.